This 249-nucleotide small RNA is filed under the name Lentibacillus amyloliquefaciens. Its description in RNAcentral is "BsrG". Lineage: Bacteria; Bacillati; Bacillota; Bacilli; Caryophanales; Bacillaceae. The record is from Rfam by way of RNAcentral.
AGUGUAAUAAGGCUUUCAUGGGUGGUGGCUCACUCCCUUUGAUAGAAAGGGGGUGAUGCCUAUGACAGUUUACGAGUCAUUAAUCGUAAUGAUUGCGUUCGCGACGCUUGUCGUUGCAAUUCUGUCAGUAAAGAAGUAACCACCCUGUCAGCCUGACUAGCAACUAGGGUGGAAUUACUUUCACUUUGUGAGUCGCCCCCUUGAAGGGCUGUUGCACUCAAGGCCGUUUGGUGUAACACCACCAUUCGG